Molecule: long non-coding RNA, 134 nt
Organism: Octodon degus (degu)
Lineage: Eukaryota; Metazoa; Chordata; Mammalia; Rodentia; Octodontidae
Exons: 3
Source: RefSeq, a predicted model, not a curated record
AAAAUUGUAACCAUGGACGCUGACUCCUGUGCUGCAUUCCCUUGCACUCAAAUCAUAAGACCUCCCCUUUGCGGUUUUCAGCCUUAAAAACCCUUGUCUCUCCCCUCCUGGGCGCGCACCUCAGCAUCUUGUGG